This 1020-nucleotide ribosomal RNA is filed under the name Triticum aestivum (bread wheat). RNAcentral's name for it is "partial small subunit ribosomal RNA". The record is from RNAcentral. Lineage: Eukaryota; Viridiplantae; Streptophyta; Magnoliopsida; Poales; Poaceae.
AUGGAUUGCCCGAGCCCUGGUGGGACUGAUACGUCGACGGACCCAGACCUCGACAAGAAUCAAGCGUUCGAACAAGGGCAUGCUGCUGCUGGGCUCACACCUCCGGAUUCCAGUGACAAAUCAAUUGGUGAACUAGGUCCAAAGACGCUCCGUCGCCUCGCCCAAAACCGUGAAGCUGCUAGGAGAAGCCGUCUAAGAAAAAAGGCAUAUGUCCAACAUCUCGAGAGCAGCGGCCUGAGGCUCGCUCAGCUGGAGCAGGAGCUCCAGCGUGCUCGCCAACAGGGCUUUCUCGUUUCUACUUUGGGGGACCAGCCUGAUUCAGAGAAUGGAAAUGCAGCUUCUUCGUUCUACGUGGAAUACGCACGGUGGCUGGAGGAGCACCACAAGCAGGUAGACGAGCUCAGGGCCGCCGUCAGCGCCCACGCCGGCGACGGCGACCUCCAGUCCAUCGUUGACACCAUCAUGGCACGCUCCGACGAGAUCUUCAGGCUCAAGGGCGCCGCGGCCAAGGGCGCCGCGGCCAAGGCCGACGCCUUCCGCGUCAUUUCGGGGACGUGGAUGACCCCCGUCGAGCGGUGCUUCCUCUGGCUCGGCGGCUUCCGGCCGUCGGAGCUUCUCAAGCUACUCGCGAGCCGGCUGGAGCCCCUCACCGAGAAGCAGCUCGACAGCAUCGACGUCCUGCGACGUUCCUCCCUGCAAGCCGAAGAAGCACUCUGUCGAGAGAUGGAAGCGCUGCGACGGUCGGUCACGGAAGCCGUCGCGGCGGCAGGAUCGUCGUCCCUGAGCUGCUCCGACGCUGAUUGCACGGGCCAAAUGGCGGUGGCGGUGGGAAAGCUUGGCGUCAUGGAAGGCCUCCUGCGGCAGGCUGAUGAUCUGCGGCUGCGGAUUCUUGAGGAAACGCGGCGGGUACUGACCACCCGUCAGUGCGCACGGGCGGUGCUCGUGGUCACCGACUACUUCUCCCGGAUGCGCGCCCUGAGUUCUCUCUGGAUUGCACGUCCGACCACCGGGGUGAACUGA